RNAcentral lists this transfer RNA (69 nucleotides) under Cociella crocodilus (crocodile flathead). RNAcentral describes it as "tRNA-Ala". It matches the Rfam family "tRNA". From Rfam's summary of the family: Transfer RNA (tRNA) molecules are approximately 80 nucleotides in length. The record is from RNAcentral. Lineage: Eukaryota; Metazoa; Chordata; Actinopteri; Perciformes; Platycephalidae.
AAGGCUUUGGCUUAAUUAAAGCAUUUGUUUUGCAUGCAAAAGAUGUAGGGUAAUAUCCUGCAAGUCUUA